ACUCAGGCGGGUAGAGGCCCGGGUCGAACCCUAGCUGAGCAGCGGGGGCCCGGAUAGCGGAGCCCUGCGCGGAGAGGGGUGGGGGCGCGCGGAGGGCGCGCGCGCGGAGGGCCCCGCCUCGGCCGGCUCUUCCCUCCCCCUCCCCGCCCCCGGUCCGCCGCUGGGGCGCGCGCCUCGCCUCGCACCCCCACCCCGACCCUCCAAGCUCCGCGGGGCCCGCCGAGCCGCCGAGGCCGUGUGCCGGCCCGCUGAGCGGUUCCGGGGGUAGGGUUCACAGGUCAGAGUUGACUCCCUGAAAAGUGCAGCCGGUUUGAAAUGCAAGAUGGCGGCGGCGGGGCGCUGAGAGGCGCGGCGGCCCCUGCAGGAGAUGGCAGAUAGAUACUUUGGACCUGUUGGUAAUGAUGGCCUGAGCUAAACACCUCCUAAUUUGAAGGGACACCCUUCCAUGUCAAAGAAAAUGCUGAGGAAGCUGUGGCAAAGCACCUGGCUACUCAGUUGUGCAACUGAACUCUAACCUCUUUUACAGUUCAAGUUAAUAAACAUGUAGUGAGUCCCUACUUCCAGGCUUCUUGUAUGCAAAGCAGAUACAGAAAUGAACGAGAAGUCAGCCCAAAUAGCUCAGCUGGAAGAGUGUUAGAUUGAAGAAAUAAAGAUUCUUCGUUCAAUCCAGUUUCAGGAGCUUUGUUAUAUCUCAAUAAAGCUAUUACUUAAAAAAAAAA
Molecule: long non-coding RNA, 719 nt
Filed under: Equus asinus (donkey)
Lineage: Eukaryota; Metazoa; Chordata; Mammalia; Perissodactyla; Equidae
Description: lncRNA (ENSEASG00005022589.2)
Source: RNAcentral